Molecule: ribosomal RNA, 495 nt
Filed under: uncultured bacterium
Lineage: Bacteria
Description: partial 16S ribosomal RNA
Rfam family: Bacterial small subunit ribosomal RNA
Source: RNAcentral
GACGAACGCUGGCGGCGUGCCUAAUACAUGCAAGUAGAACGCUGAAGGAGGAGCUUGCUUCUCUGGAUGAGUUGCGAACGGGUGAGUAACGCGUAGGUAACCUGCCUGGUAGCGGGGGAUAACUAUUGGAAACGAUAGCUAAUACCGCAUAAGAGUAGAUGUUGCAUGACAUUUGCUUAAAAGGUGCAAUUGCAUCACUACCAGAUGGACCUGCGUUGUAUUAGCUAGUUGGUGGGGUAACGGCUCACCAAGGCGACGAUACAUAGCCGACCUGAGAGGGUGAUCGGCCACCCUGGGACUGGGACACGGCCCAGACUCCUACGGGAGGCAGCCGUAGGGAAUCUUCGGCAAUGGACGGAAGUCUGACCGAGCAACGCCGCGUGAGUGAAGAAGGUUUUCGGAUCGUAAAGCUCUGUUGUAAGAGAAGAACGAGUGUGAGAGUGGAAAGUUCACACUGUGACGGUAUCUUACCAGAAAGGGACGGCUAACUACGUG